AAAAGAGAUUGUUGAAGAUGAACCACUUGUGGCAGAAGUCAAAGAAAGAUGGCCAGCAUUGUUCUCUGAACAGCAGAUUGUAGCUGAAUUUGCUCGCCUUACAUCUGUUGACCUGAAAGGCUCCCUAUUUGCUGGGAUUGACCAGUACCUGGCAAGGUUCCUGGAGCUGUACAAAGCCAAGAGUGGCAUAGUGGGACUGACCAGGCUCACAAGACAGCUUGAUGAAGACAGUUCCACACAGAGGAAGAGGACUGUUCUUCUGCUAAAUAAGUCAAUUAAUUGAAGAUGGCUUGUAGGCCCUGAAAAGUUCGACUUACCCAAUCAUAACUAUUAAAUACCCAGCCCCAAUUACCUAUAUCUUGUAGAUGCCAGACAUAAAAAUGUG
Notolabrus celidotus (New Zealand spotty) is the source of this 385-nucleotide long non-coding RNA. RefSeq lists it as uncharacterized. The transcript is spliced from 3 exons. Lineage: Eukaryota; Metazoa; Chordata; Actinopteri; Labriformes; Labridae. The record is from RefSeq and is a predicted model, not a curated record.